Molecule: ribosomal RNA, 492 nt
Filed under: uncultured bacterium
Lineage: Bacteria
Description: partial 16S ribosomal RNA
Rfam family: Bacterial small subunit ribosomal RNA
Source: RNAcentral
AGUGAACGCUGGCGGUAGGCCUAACACAUGCAAGUCGAACGGCAGCACAGUAAGAUCUUGCUCUUACGGGUGGCGAGUGGCGGACGGGUGAGGAAUACAUCGUAAUCUACUUUUUCGUGGGGGAUAACGUAGGGAAACUUACUCUAAUACCGCAUACGACCUACGGGUGAAAGCAGGGGAUCUUCGGACCUUGCGCGAUUGAAUUAGCCGAUGUCGGAUUAGCUAGUUGGCGGGGUAAAGUCCCACCAAGGCGACGAUCCGUAGCUGGUCUGAGAGGAUGAUCAGUCACACUGGAAGUGAGACACGGUCAAGACUCCUACGAGAGGCAGCAGUGGGGAAUAUUGGACAAUGGGCGCAAGCAUGAUACAGCCAUAGCGAGUGGGUGAAGAAGGCCUUCGGGUUGUAAAGCCCAUUUGUGGGGAAAGAAAAGCAGCAGGUUAAUACCCCGCUGUUCUGACGGUACCCAAAGAAUAAGCACCGGCUAACUUCGUG